AGGAGAAUUGUAUAAGGAUAUUUGGUAGGUGGGAGGUUUGAGAAUAAUCAAAAAGUGGCUAUUCCAGAGAUAGGUAUAAAUUGAGGUAUAAGCGGGGAUUAGAUUAUCUUUGCGUUUGGAUGAAAAUUGGGUUAUUUCUGAGAAUAAAAAAAUAGCGUUUGGUUAGAUAAGAUAGAAUAAGAAGGAUAGUAGGUUUUAUAAAUAAAAAGUAAUUAUAUUAUUCUCUUAUUAUAUUUGAAUUUGAAUUUUUAAAAUUUUAAAUUUAUAUUUUUAAAUUUAAAAUUUUAACUUUGAAAUUUUAAAUUUUGAAAUUUAAAAUCUCAAAUUUUAAAUUCAAAAUUUUAAAUUUUAAAAUUCAAACUUUAAAUUUAAGAUCAAAUUUAAAUUUGAAAAAUAUAANAAAUUUUUAAUUUUUAAAAUUUUAAAAUAAAAAUAAGGGUGGGAACAAUUAAUAAAAAUAAUUUAUUAUAAUAAAUUUAUAAAUUUUUUUAAAUUCUACUUAAACUUAAAUUUAAUAAAAAGAAUUUAUUAUAAUAUUUAAAUAUAAUUUAUUAAAAAUUUUAUUAUAAUACUUAAAUAUAAAUAAUAUGUAUUAAUAUAGUACAAUUAAUAAUUUUAUAAUAAAAAUAAUGUAUUAUAAUAUAUAACAUAUUAUAUUUAUUUAAUUUAGUUUUAAUUCAAUUUAUAAUUUUAAUUAAGUUUGAAAUUAAGCAUUGGAAUAGCACUAUUCCAUCAAAAUGGUGGAAUAGCAAAUUCCUUGCUAUUCUGGGAUAAUCGGGAAUAGCAAGGUUUGACCGGAAUAAAAUAUUCCGGCCAAAUUUCACCCCGUUUGGCGGAAUAGCGGGGAUAAAUUUCGUUAUCCCCGCUUAUCCCUCGAACCAAACGGGACCAAAUAUUAUAAUUUUAUAUAUAGUAUGGUAA
RNAcentral lists this long non-coding RNA (921 nucleotides) under Ananas comosus (pineapple). Its description in RNAcentral is "long non-coding RNA (ACOM_LNC022961)". Lineage: Eukaryota; Viridiplantae; Streptophyta; Magnoliopsida; Poales; Bromeliaceae. The record is from RNAcentral.